RNAcentral lists this ribosomal RNA (1403 nucleotides) under uncultured bacterium. Its description in RNAcentral is "bacterial SSU rRNA". It matches the Rfam family "Bacterial small subunit ribosomal RNA". The record is from RNAcentral.
AGAGUUUGAUCCUGGCUCAGGAUGAACGCUAGCGGCAGGCUUAACACAUGCAAGUCGAGGGGCAGCGGGGAGGAAGCUUGCUUUCUCCGCCGGCGACCGGCGCACGGGUGAGUAACACGUAUGCAACCUGCCCCUGUCAGGGGGACAACCCGCCGAAAGGCGGGCUAAACCCGCGUACAUGCCACCGGGGCAUCCCGGAGGAAGGAAAGGCUUCGGCCGGACAGGGAUGGGCAUGCGGCGCAUUAGGCAGUAGGCGGGGUAACGGCCCACCUAACCGACGAUGCGUAGGGGUUCUGAGAGGAAGGUCCCCCACACCGGUACUGAGACACGGACCAGACUCCUACGGGAGGCAGCAGUGAGGAAUAUUGGUCAAUGGGGGAAACCCUGAUGCAGCGACGCCGCGUGAGUGAAGAAGUAUUUCGGUACGUAAAGCUCUAUCAGCAGGGAAGAAAAAAAGUCCACAGGACUUUGGACGGUACCUGACUAAGAAGCCCCGGCUAACUACGUGCCAGCAGCCGCGGUAAUACGUAGGGGGCAAGCGUUAUCCGGAUUUACUGGGUGUAAAGGGAGCGUAGACGGCUGUGCAAGUCUGAAGUGAAAUGCCGGGGCCCAACCCCGGAACUGCUUUGGAAACUGUACAGCUAGAGUGCAGGAGGGGUGAGCGGAAUUCCUAGUGUAGCGGUGAAAUGCGUAGAUAUUAGGAGGAACACCGGUGGCGAAGGCGGCUCACUGGACUGUAACUGACGUUGAGGCUCGAAAGCGUGGGGAGCAAACAGGAUUAGAUACCCUGGUAGUCCACGCCGUAAACGAUCAUUAAAAGGUGUCGGGGGGCCAAGCCCCUGGGGGGCGGGGGCAAAGGCAUUAAGUAAUCCACGGGGGGAGGACGUUCGCAAGGAAAGAAACUCAAAAGGAAUGGACGGGGACCCGCGCAAGCGGUGGAGCAUGUGGUUUAAUCCGAAGCAACGCGAGGAACCUUACCCGGCCUUGACAUCCCGAUGAAUGUACAGUAAUGUGUACAGGACUUCGGUACAUCGGAGACAGGUGGUGCAUGGUUGUCGUCAGCUCGUGUCGUGAGAUGUUGGGUUAAGUCCCGCAACGAGCGCAACCCCUGCCCUCAGUAGCCAGCAGGUGAAGCUGGGAACUCUGAGGGGACUGCCCGGGAUAACCGGGAGGAAGGCGGGGAUGACGUCAAAUCAUCAUGCCCCUUAUGGCCGGGGCUACACACGUGCUACAAUGGCGGAAACAGAGGGAGGCAGCCCCGUGAGGGUGAGCGAACCCCAAAAAUACCGCCUCAGUUCGGAUUGUAGUCUGCAACCCGACUACAUGAAGCCGGAAUCGCUAGUAAUCGCGAAUCAGAAUGUCGCGGUGAAUACGUUCCCGGGUCUUGUACUCACAGCCCGUCA